GUGCCUAAUACAUGCAAGUCGAGCGGACAGAAGGGAGCUUGCUCCCGGAUGUUAGCGGCGGACGGGUGAGUAACACGUGGGUAACCUGCCUGUAAGACUGGGAUAACUCCGGGAAACCGGAGCUAAUACCGGAUAGUUCCUUGAACCGCAUGGUUCAAGGAUGAAAGACGGUUUCGGCUGUCACUUACAGAUGGACCCGCGGCGCAUUAGCUAGUUGGUGGGGUAAUGGCUCACCAAGGCGACGAUGCGUAGCCGAMCCUGAGAGGGUGAUCGGCCACACUGGGACUGAGACACGGCCCAGACUCCUACGGGAGGCAGCAGUAGGGAAUCUUCCGCAAUGGACGAAAGUCUGACGGAGCAACGCCGCGUGAGUGAUGAAGGUUUUCGGAUCGUAAAGCUCUGUUGUUAGGGAAGAACAAGUGCGAGAGUAACUGCUCGCACCUUGACGGUACCUAACCAGAAAGCCACGGCUAACUACGUGCCAGCAGCCGCGGUAAUACGUAGGUGGCAAGCGUUGUCCGGAAUUAUUGGGCGUAAAGGGCUCGCAGGCGGUUUCUUAAGUCUGAUGUGAAAGCCCCGGGCUCAACCGGGGAGGGUCAUUGGAAACUGGGAAACUUGAGUGCAGAAGAGGAGAGUGGAAUUCCACGUGUAGCGGUGAAAUGCGUAGAGAUGUGGAGGAACACCAGUGGCGAAGGCGACUCUCUGGUCUGUAACUGACGCUGAGGAGCGAAAGCGUGGGGAGCGAACAGAAUUAGAUACCCUGGUAGUCCACGCCGUAAACGAUGAGUGCUAAGUGUUAGGGGGUUUCCGCCCCUUAGUGCUGCAGCUAACGCAUUAAGCACUCCGCCUGGGGAGUACGGUCGCAAGACUGAAACUCAAAGGAAUUGACGGGGGCCCGCACAAGCGGUGGAGCAUGUGGUUUAAUUCGAAGCAACGCGAAGAACCUUACCAGGUCUUGACAUCCUCUGACAACCCUAGAGAUAGGGCUUUCCCUUCGGGGACAGAGUGACAGGUGGUGCAUGGUUGUCGUCAGCUCGUGUCGUGAGAUGUUGGGUUAAGUCCCGCAACGAGCGCAACCCUUGAUCUUAGUUGCCCAGCAUUUAGUUGGGCACUCUAAGGUGACUGCCGGUGACAAACCGGAGGAAGGUGGGGAUGACGUCAAAUCAUCAUGCCCCUUAUGACCUGGGCUACACACGUGCUACAAUGGACAGAACAAAGGGCUGCGAGACCGCAAGGUUUAGCCAAUCCCAUAAAUCUGUUCUCAGUUCGGAUCGCAGUCUGCAACUCGACUGCGUGAAGCUGGAAUCGCUAGUAAUCGCGGAUCAGCAUGC
Molecule: ribosomal RNA, 1331 nt
Filed under: Bacillus sp. MH-133
Lineage: Bacteria; Bacillati; Bacillota; Bacilli; Caryophanales; Bacillaceae
Description: bacterial SSU rRNA
Rfam family: Bacterial small subunit ribosomal RNA
Source: RNAcentral